CUUUUUUGUAUGUGUGUGAGAUAGAUUGGCCCUGAGCUAACAUCUGUUGCCAAUCUUCCUCUUUUUUUUUCCCCCCAAAGCCCCAGUACGUAGUUGUAUACCCUAGCUGAAGGUCACUCUAGUUCCUUUAUUGAGAUGCCACCACAGCAUGGCUUGAUGACAGGUGUGUACGUCUGCUCCCAGGAUCCUAACGGGUGAACCCUGGGCCACAGAAGCAAAGUGCACAAACUUAACCACUUGGCCACGGGUGGCCUCUAUUUUCCACAUAUUACCAUCUCUCAUAUCAAGAUGUAUUUCAGUGGACAGAGUCUUAGUGUUGCAUUAUAGUUUAAUUGGAAGCAUUUUUCUUUCUUGGUGAUGCAUAAAAUAAUGGUGCAUCUUACAAUCAAUGGCAUCUUAGAUGUGAUGAAAUAUGGAUAGAUGGCCAGUCCUUCACAGUAGACCCAAUCUUCACCCUUUCCCUUUUUCCGUUCCUCGCCCUUUUUCUGCUCUGCUUUGUAGAGAAGCGGGUUCUGACUCGAUAGACUGUAUUCUCAGGCUUCCUGGUUCCGGAGCUUCCAGCUAAGCUCAGCCAAUGGGAGACAGCAAUGGGAGCCGCCCCUUUCCCAGCCACUCCAUCUCGCCCCCUUGAGUAGCAUCUCUGGCAGUAGCUGGUUCUCCCUCUGCGUCAUUAGGGGAUCCCAGCCACUGGGCUCCUGUAACAUAGCCCCCUUCCAGGAAGUAUCUAGUCUCUAGCCUAGUGGUGGUGACUGAUGGCUACUUGCUGCUGCUAAUCUCUGAGUUGCCUCACCACCUCUGUUUAGCUUUUCAACAGUUCAACUCCCCGUUGUAGCCAAUCCUCUAAAUGAAAUUCUCCUCUACUUUAAAUACUUAGAUGGAGUUCUGUUUACUGGGUGGGCUCUGCCUGACACUACUGGCCUUCAAACCUAGAUUUGCACUUCCUAGCACAUACCACAGCCUAUCAGCUCUCAGAUUCUAAAAAGAGGAACGACAUAGUAAAUAAAGAAAUGUCAUGGUGGUUUCUUAUCAGGAAGCCAUAGACUCAUUGAGAGCCAGCAGAAUUAUUGCAAAGGAUACAGGAAUCCACUUGUGCACCAAGCAUUGUCAGGAAAUUGACUAAAUAUCUUUCAGACAAUGCAUUCCUAAAUGAUACUAUCAGAAAGCCGGAUAUUUCCUCUAGUACAAGAGGUAAACCUGUGGCCAAGCAAAGCCCACCUGAAGGAAGGGGACAAAGGUUGUUUUCUACUAGUUUAGCAAUCCCAGAAGAAAGAGAGAUGAUCUUUUCCAAUGGUUCUAACAAGUAACUCAAGUCAAUGAGGACACAGUGAGCGGACAGCAGUCAGAAAGCAGCCCUCACCAGCCAGUGAAUCUGCCGGCAUCUUCAUCUUGGACUUCCCAGCCUCUAGAACUUGCAGGACUGACAAGGAACACAACCAGUUCUGCCACAAAAGGCCCAUAAAUAUUCAACAUAGAGGAGGACUAAUUUACAAAGAUGAUACCACUUUAUCAUGAUGGGGCGGGUACUAUGUUAAGUUUACCGUGAAACCCAUCUUUGCUUAGUCAAACCCAA
RNAcentral lists this long non-coding RNA (1570 nucleotides) under Equus caballus (horse). Its description in RNAcentral is "lncRNA (ENSECAG00000046009.1)". Lineage: Eukaryota; Metazoa; Chordata; Mammalia; Perissodactyla; Equidae. The record is from RNAcentral.